This is a non-coding RNA of Bos taurus (domestic cattle), 72 nucleotides long. NCBI's taxonomy places the organism in Eukaryota, Metazoa, Chordata, Mammalia, Artiodactyla, Bovidae. The record is from Rfam.
UCCCUGGUGGCUCAGAUGGUAAAGCGUCUGCCUGCAAUACAGGAGACCCAGGUUCGAUCCCUGGGUUGGGAA